This 223-nucleotide ribosomal RNA is filed under the name uncultured bacterium. Its description in RNAcentral is "partial 16S ribosomal RNA". It matches the Rfam family "Bacterial small subunit ribosomal RNA", at positions 328 to 539 of the family's 1533-position model. The record is from RNAcentral.
ACGCUCGACACCUACGGGAGGUAGCAGUAGGGAAUCUUCCACAAUGGGCGCAAGCCUGAUGGAGCAACACCGCGUGAGUGAAGAAGGGUUUCGGCUCGUAAAGCUCUGUUGUUGGAGAAGAACGUGCGUGAGAGUAACUGUUCACGCAGUGACGGUAUCCAACCAGAAAGUCACGGCUAACUACGUGCUAGCAGCCGCGGUAAUCUGAGCGGGCUGGCAAGGC